AGACAGCGAGAGGGAGAGGGAGGGGACGGGACUGACCACUAGAUUACUCUAAGGACUACACUGUGCGUCGGAAAGCGCAAAAAUUGACCCAAACAAACACCUCAACAGGAAUAAAGGGAGCAAAUGCGCACGGACCGCCGCUACACACCCGCAGCCGCCGCACUCUUUUGCGUGUUUUUCUUCUUCGAUCUGUUUUUUUUUCCCCCUCCUAAUGACAUUUUGUCAUUUUCGGAGCUCGUGACUACCAGAAGGAGCGACUGAAAAGAAGACAGCAAGACUGACAAGCAGAGGGCGAGACACAGAGACAGACAGAGAGGGUGAGAAAGAGAGACAUAACGAUAGCUCGACUGAGGUGCUGUUGGGUUGCGCGCGCUCGCUUGGGCUGGACGGGCUGCACCUUUCCGGGAAACUAAAGCAGGGUUCAGAGAAGCAGACAGAUAUAAGCUAUACACAGCACACGAGCCAGCAUUAUCUAGACGUGUCUUGCGUUUAUUUUUUAGUUUAUCAUUUCUUUUCGCAGACAUUUAUCAGAAACACCACAGGAGACCAAGACAGGUGCGUUGUAGUAGCCUAAGCACAGCAAUGUGUCCAGUCUCAGGCGUGUACAGCUCGUGAUUUGACUCCAUGUUUUUUCCUCCACCACAUUAAGAAAUUUGCCACAUUCCUGCCUCUGGUCGGUUCGCGCGCGCGUGUUCAUGUGUGCGUUGAUUAACGCGCGCGCCACGCACGCACCGCAUCCACACAAAUCGAGCCAGACCCGACGCGAGCUCCUCCCCUCCCCAUCUUUCUCUCCCCGCCCCCUCCACCUCCUCCUCUAUGCUCAGCUCGGUGUGCGUCUCCUCUUUCAGAGGGCGCAAGGGUGGCAGCAAGUCGUGCGCUAAAGCAUGCGCGAGCGCCGACAUGACUUGCCCGUCGGACAGCGAGCGCAUCGUGAUCAACUGCGGCGGCGUGCGGCACGAGACUUACCGCAGCACGCUCCGUACGCUGCCCGGCACGCGCCUCUCCUGGCUCACCGAGCCCGACGCGUGCAGUAACUUCGACUACGACCCCAAGUCGGACGAGUUCUUCUUCGACCGGCACCCGAGCACGUUCGCCUUCAUCCUCAAUUACUACCGCACCGGCAAGCUGCACUGUCCCGGCGAUGUGUGCGGCCCGCUCUUCGAGGAGGAGCUCGCCUUCUGGGGCAUCGACGAGACGGACGUGGAGGCGUGCUGCUGGAUGAACUACCGGCAGCACCGCGACGCCGAGGAGGCGCUCGAUAGCUUCGAGACGCCCGAGCCGGACGCACCGGAGGACGAGGCUGUGGCGCUGGCCGGCGGCGGCGGAGGGGGCGGGGCUGACGGGGAUCUCAAGCGGCUGUGCCUGCACGAGGACGGCGGCAAGAAGAGCUGGUGGAGCGUGUGGCGGCCGCGCGUCUGGGCGCUUUUCGAGGACCCGUACUCAUCCAAAUACGCGCGGUACGUGGCGUUUGGCUCGCUCUUCUUCAUCCUCAUCUCCAUCUCGACGUUCUGCCUGGAGACGCACGAGGCGUUCAACACCAUCUACAACCGCACAGAGAAUGUGACGGUGGGCAACGUGACGCACGAGGAAGUGGUGUUCGAGGUUGUGACGGACAGCUGGCUGACGUACGUGGAAGGCGUGUGCGUCAUCUGGUUCACCAUCGAGGUGUUCACGCGCGUCAUCUUCUGCCCCGACAAGGCCGAGUUCUUCAAGAGCUCGCUCAAUAUCAUUGACUUCGUGGCCAUCCUGCCCUUCUACCUGGAGGUGGCACUGAGUGGCCUCUCAUCCAAGGCCGCCAAGGACGUGCUGGGCUUCUUGCGCGUCGUCCGCUUUGUGCGGAUCUUAAGGAUCUUCAAGCUCACGCGCCAUUUCGUCGGGCUGCGCGUGUUGGGCCACACUCUGCGUGCCAGCACCAACGAGUUCCUGCUCCUGAUCAUCUUCCUGGCUCUCGGGGUGCUUAUCUUUGCCACAAUGAUUUAUUAUGCCGAGAGGAUCGGCGCUGACCCCGAUGACCCUACGGCCAGUGCCCACACCUCCUUCAAGAACAUCCCUAUUGGUUUCUGGUGGGCCGUGGUCACCAUGACUACGCUGGGCUACGGCGACAUGUACCCCGAGACGUGGUCGGGCAUGUUGGUCGGCGCUCUGUGUGCCCUGGCUGGUGUGCUUACCAUCGCCAUGCCUGUGCCCGUCAUCGUCAACAACUUCGGCAUGUACUACUCGCUGGCCAUGGCCAAGCAGAAGCUGCCCAAGAAGAAGAACAAACACAUCCCACGAGCCCCACAGCCCGGCUCGCCCAAUUACUGCAAGCCUGAUGCUCUUGCCAUGGCAACCGCCUCUCCGCACAGGAUCAUGGGUAAUGUGCUGGGUGGCAGCAUAGCAGGGGACUGCCCUCUGGCACAGGAAGAGAUCAUCGAGAUCAACAGAGCAGACUCGAAGCAAAACGGGGACGCGGCUAAUGCAGCCCUGGCUAACGAGGACUGUCCUACAAUAGACCAGGUGCUGGGGCCGGAUGACAGGAGUCCGGCAACGGGGACCGGGCGCUACCCGCACGACCGCGCCUGCUUCCUGCUCAGCGCCGGCGAGUUCCGCACCACCGACAGCAAUGUCAGGAAAGGCCGGCGCUACAGUGUCCGUAAUGUUACUAAAGUCUGACCUGAGAGAACUAUUCUGACAGUCCACUGCUUAUCAGAUAUAUGCAAAAAGAAGCUGUAACUGUGAAGUAAUCUAGAACAGGAAAAAAAAAAAAAACAAACAAAAAAAACAAACCCUCCUUUCAUUUCUCCCUUCACGUGCACGCUCCGCGCUCCUGAAUGAACACCACACCCAACCUUUCGAGCUCCACCACCGCCGCCACCACCACCACCACCACCACCAACUCCCCCCUCCUUCGCGUAACGACGGUUCCUUCCUCAGGAAACCUCUACUGACUUAUUUAUUUCUGCCUUCGUGAUUUUUCUGCAUAUUCUCUUUUCUUGCAUCGAAUUCUGUUCUUUUCCUUUCCUUUAUUUUUCUCUCCCUUCUCUCUUUCUCUCUCUCAGUAUGCAGAACAGAUCGUUCUCAUUUCGUCCGCAUGUCAGCAGGCCGCGUUACCUGUCGCCGCCCGCCGGAAGCUCGUAGCCGAACGCGUCCGAGCACGGACUCUUUUUAUUUUUUCCUGAUUAUAUGUAGCACACACUAUCAUGUAGAUCAGUAGCAGGCGUUUAGUCGGGUUUAUUUUUUUAAACAGAAACAAGGAUCGCUACCGAGCAAUGAUAGAGCGUUAAAAUAAAAAAUGAAUGAAAAAAAAAACGAUUGUCUCGAGCAGUGCAUGUUGCCUCGCGUGCUAACGGAAUGCUUCGUGCUGCAUCCUUGUGCAUCUUGCGAUAUAUUUUUCUUUUCAUUUCUUAUUAUAUGCAUUUAAAAAAAAAUUAAAGAGCUACGUUCAGGGGAAAAGGGGAAAACAACACACACAACUCAAUUCAUCCCAAACACCCUAAAAUAAUAAUAAUAAUAAUAAUAAUAAUAAUAAUAAUAAUAAUAAUAAUAAUACAAGGAGGUAAGCACAAGAAAGGGCGGCCAUUUUCUUUUGAAUGUAGCCGUGUAACAAUUUCUUUUGACAUAAUCAGAAAUUACCCAGAAUCCUCUAGCACGUCUCUCACGUCACUACUCAGGUACUGUAGCUCUCUCUGUCUACGUCGGUCUUUUAUCAGUGCUUCCAAAAAAAAACAAACAACAACAACAACAACAAAAAAAGAUGUCAACGCUUUGAAGACAAAAACGGAAAACGAACGAGGAAAGAGUUCGUAGAAACGAACGUGUUCACACGUCUUCCUUUCCUAGAGUCCUCGCACUUCUUCUUUUUUCUUAAACGAUCCGUCAAUAUUUUAUUACGUUUGUUUUGCCCUGAUUUAUGCCAUUUCCCUCCUCAUGCCUUUCAGUCACUUCUCUUUUUUUUUACUAUUAUUAUUAUUUUCCUUUUAAUUUACGAUAUUGAAAAAAGGAAAGAAAGAAACGUCAACCCGUGAUCUGCCCUUAAAAAAAAAAAAAAAAAAAGAAAGAGUGGGAAUGAACAAGCGAAAGACAAACAGACAGAGUGUAUGGUGUGUGUGUGUGUGUGUUUGGGGGUUGGGUGGGGGGAUUAAACGAGUGUGUGUUGAAAGCGGAUCCUACGAACGGCACCGGGAAAUGGAGGAGAGUUGAAUGGAGGGGAAGAAGGAAAAGAGAAAAAUUGAGGAGGAAGGAAGGAAGGAAGGAAAGAAGGAAGGAAGGAAGGAAGGAAGGAAGGAAGCUGAUCGGCUUCUCAGUUGCUGAGUUUCUGAACUGUCCGCUUUCCCUCUAAAGACGAAUCCGGCUCCGCAGCCUAAAAAAAAAUCAAACUCCAUAAAGUGAGAGAAAACACCAGUAGAAGAGAAGAGAAGAGAAGAGAAGAGGAAGGAGACAGAGCGGUGCUAAUACAGCUGGAGGAACUCUGUCCUGUCUCUCGGCUGAUAGACAGAACCCCUGAAUGGAUCGACACCAAGCACAGACUCAUCCCUCCAUCAUGAUUGCGGGACUUCACACGUUCUUCCAAACCGGACAGUGGUUUUAAUCUGGGCUUCUACUCGCACACAUAUCAGUCCGACGCUGCGGAACGACCUCCUUUCCUCCUUUGCACUCUUUUUGCGGUUCCAUCUGUUCUCUUUGCAUCGAAUCUUCUUUGAAAAAAAAAAAUAAAUAAAUAAAAUAACAAAAGAAACAUUAUUUGCAUGCACCACUACUGGGUGGAGGCUAAAGAUUUAAACUCAGACAAACAGGGAUUGCUCUCGCUCUGGACGCUCCACCGUCAUUUUAAGGGCAAAGAAAAUUCCAUGGAAGGUUUCCCAAGCUUGAUUCAACUCUAUGCAAUUCACCCACUCACUAUUUACUAAAAAAAAAUACGCCAAAUCAGCAGACGGCACUCAGCUUCAUCCUCUUCCCAAAAAGACAGAGGGUCAAGAGCCAGCGUCCGGUCCGGCGUGGACUCCCGCCUGCAACCGGGAACUCUCCUGUCACAUACUGCAGCUAAAAUAAAGCCUUCAUCCACGGACAAAUUCAUCACGUCACGUCCGGGACUCACAGGCGUGUGACUAUAAACGGUGCGCGGGAAAGACGCUUCGCAGAACUUCCAGUCUUUCUCGUGUCUCUCUUCAACAUCUCAGCGUUUCUCCUCCUCUGUAGCAGAACUGCAUGGCAUGAACUUACAAAAAAAAAUACAACAAAAAAAAAGACAAAACAAAAGAAAGAAAACAAAUCCAAAUCAUAAGGAGAUCUUAGAAACGCUUACAGAAACACGGAGAAACCGAGGAGACGUUUAAAAUCCCCGACCGAUUUGUCCGGACGGACGAGGACGAGACGGAGAACAAGAAUCUUACGCCUUUGACCUUCGACCCAGGGAAGAGGGUGGAGUUUUUCCACAUCAUCAGGACGGAUACGGAAACCCAGGGGGAGAACUUUGAACCUGGGGGGUGGGGGUGGGGAAGAAACACACAAUAGAAUAUGAAUGCAAAUUGAAAACAAACAAACAAACAAACAAAAAAAAAGAUGCAUUUUCUGACUUUGUUUACCAGCAUGAUAAAAGAAUUGCAUGCCUCUGCUUCGAAAGGUCCUCUCGCCCAGUUCCCCCUGAACAUACACACGGAUAAAAAAAAAGAACAACAAAACAAAAAAAGAGGGCUUGGAAUUAUUUAAAAAAAAAAAAGAGCAACAUCACGGGGAUUAAAUGCAGGUUUAUGUUAUAUGCAACUCAAUUUAGAAAGUUAUAUUAUUAAAAAGAAAAAGUUCUAUAUUUUUGUUUUACUACUAAAAACUGAGUACGGCAUAUAGGACUGCGAGAUACAGUCAGAGCGUAUUAGAUAUUAGAUUCCCCCAGAAACUGAUAUGGAAAAUAAAUUCCUGCUAUUUAAAAA
Molecule: RNA transcript, 5903 nt
Organism: Tachysurus vachellii
Lineage: Eukaryota; Metazoa; Chordata; Actinopteri; Siluriformes; Bagridae
Gene: kcnc3a
Gene name: potassium voltage-gated channel, Shaw-related subfamily, member 3a
Exons: 7
Source: RefSeq, a predicted model, not a curated record